AUGUAGUUCAGGCUGGCCUUGAACUAACAGCAGUCCUCCUAUCUCAGUCUCACAAGUGCUGGGAUUAUAGGCAUGGGACACCAAGCCUGGCCAAAAUAAAAUAUUUUUUAAAGGGUGGGAAUACACCUUAGUGGUAGAGCACCGCUAGGUUCAGUCCUCAGUGUCUGGGGGCCAGGAUAAAUAAGUCAGCACCAGCUGGUGGCCAGUGCUAAUAGAGGUAAAGUCAGGUGGCAUCACCCUGCCUGCAGCACAGGAACUCAACUGGUGACCUUUGUUAAAAGAAAAAGACCUGGGCUGGGGAUGUGGCUCAAUGAUAACACCAUAAAAAGGAAAAGAAAAAUCAUAGGCAAAUUGAGUUUUAAAAAGUUUAUUUGAGCAAAGAAAACAAUUCUCAAAUCAGGGCACCCUCAGAACCAAACAGGUUCUAAGAACUGGAGCUAGCAAAUUAGGCAGCACUUAAUUUGCCUAAUUAAGAAGACCGGAGUGAGGUAUAGAGACAGUGCAAGUGGUGGCAGCUUAAUUAAUCUGUCAGCUGGUUACAGAGCCCACGAGUGCCUGCUGCUCGUGCUGUGAUUGAACUCCAUGCUGACCAGACCUGCUGGGCUAGUGCAGGAACUCGCUCCAAACCAAGGCUGCCUACGCUUUUCUUUAACACCUCUGACCUGAGACUGCAUUUGUGAGAAGGUGCCUUUGUGGGACUGGGGUAACAGCUGCUGCUAUUGUAGCCAGCUAAGUUAAUUAGAUAUUUAUAGGCAGUUAGACAGGGCUGGGCCUCUAGAGUGUCAAUACAAACGACAACUGAGGCACAUUUACUAAAGGCCAGGAUUCAAAAAAGAGGACCAUUACACUCACAUCCCCUAGGGAUAAACAGCAGUGAUUGAUAUUCUAAAUAGGCAUCAAUCACCUUGGGUGGGCUCAAAACCAUUCCUUCCCGGAAAUCUUGGCUACAUGACUUGCUCUCUCAUUUGAUCCCCAUUUAAUCAAUAUUACCAGUUAUGGCUUGUGUUUAGAUGUCCCCCCAAAGCCUCAUGCGAAUGAGGUGGGGCUAUUUUAUAUAUGUGCUGCUGAAAUGAGCACAAGGUGAGGCUAUUUGGGAGGUGGCUGAAUCUAGAGUGUAAGAUGUCUGAAUUAGGGGUGUGUGAUUACUAAACCACUACACAUGAGCGAUAGGUUUGGCACCACCCAAUCCCAGUGGUCUGAAUAAAAUAAAAGGAGCAGGAAGACGCCAUCAAGCUCUCUUGUGGCCUUUGCUAACUUCCACCGCUGUGAACUGUUGCCCCUCUGCCAUGUGCACCCUGCUUGGAGCCAGUCGAUUAUGGACUGAAAACUCUACAAACUGUGAGCUAAAUAAACCUUUCCCCCUUUAACUCUGGGUGUCAGGUAUUUUGUCUCAACAAUGAGAGAAAAGUAAUACAUUACCUAAGUAACUAUAUACUUAUAAUUUUAUUGGUUGACCAUAGUUUUGUCCCACCUCAUACCCAUUUUGUGAUUUUCCACUGGAUCUUAUUAAUUGACUGUAGUUUUGUCCCACUUUGUACCUGCCUCGUUUCAUGGCUUUGUCCCAUGACAGUACCCUAAGAAGUGGGGUCCUGGGCAACCCACUUUCUGGGUGUCCUCUCCUGUCCCUCUCAGGCGGGAGCUGUCUUCCCCUCAAUAAAUAUUCCCUACUCUUAAACUCCAUGGUUCCUAGAAUUCAUUCUUUAAUUUUAGAGAACACGAAUUAGGCAUUUUGGAUCUAACAGAGAGAGUUGUAAUAUUUUCCUUACAUUAUUUAAUUAGAGGUCCUAUAUCAUCCCUAGAUCGUACACCCUAUAUCAUUUGGAGGUCUUUCACUGAGAUAAUUGGAAGGAGGCUCUCCAAAGUGGCAAUAAUUCACUGUUGAGGACACCAAAAAGGAGCUGACAAAGUAUCUCAAGAACCAACUUGGGAAGGACCAUACACCAUGAUCCUGUCGCCUCCAUCAGCAGUUAAUGUAGCAGGCCUGGACUCCUGGAUACAUCACAACCAACUCAUUGCAGAGUGUGAGCUAACACCCAAAUACUCUUUUGAACUCAUAGAAGACUUAAAAUUCUUGUUCAAAUAGAAAA
Molecule: non-coding RNA, 2087 nt
Organism: Heterocephalus glaber (naked mole-rat)
Lineage: Eukaryota; Metazoa; Chordata; Mammalia; Rodentia; Bathyergidae
Source: RefSeq, a predicted model, not a curated record